This 788-nucleotide long non-coding RNA is filed under the name Triticum aestivum (bread wheat). RNAcentral describes it as "long non-coding RNA (TAES_LNC026478)". Lineage: Eukaryota; Viridiplantae; Streptophyta; Magnoliopsida; Poales; Poaceae. The record is from RNAcentral.
GUGCACCAAGACUUCCUGGCUAUCAUUGACAAGGUCAAACCGACUCCGAUAACGGAGCGGUGGCAACGACGCAUCGACUGCUCAUUCUGGUGGCAAUAGUUAUCUUUGAAUGGUUUCUAAAUGUCGACGUAUUUUUUAUUAUGUUUGAGAUGAUUUAUACUUUCAAUGAACUUUUAUAAUUGAUGCAUAUCAGAAGGCCCACAAAAUUUAUCAGAAGGCCCACAAAAAAAUGAACCAGAUGCAUAUCAAAAGGCCCACAAAAUUUAUCAACAAUGUCACAUUACACAAACAAUUGUCGAACCACGAAUUCAGCGAAAAGAGUGCCACUCAAGAUAGCACGCCACACAGAACAAACAAGAACAGAGAAACAAAUUAUCAGCUGAUUGCCACAAAAUUUCAGCAUCCCAUGUUCAAUAUUUACAAGAGGCAGAACUCACCCCAACUAAUUGCACCGCGUUAACAGUAGCCUCAAGUUAUCUUGACUUCCCAUGACUACCCACCUACUAUUUACAAAAGUUGACAUGACUACCUAUCUGCCUACUAUUUACAAAAGUUGCCAUGACUACCUAUCUGCCUACUAUUUACAAAAGUUGCCAUGACUACCUAUCUAGCUACUAUUCACAGUUUUUCCAUGUCAAAGAAACAUUGGUCAUAUCUAAGAAUGUGCAUGGCUAAGGAAUGAAUGACAGCAGAUGUUGAGAUGAUGAAUGGGAAGAAGAGUCAGGUACUGAUCCUAUUUCUAGAUUAUAGGUAAUUCUAGGGCCAUUGCUAAGAUACAGAUAUAUAUA